RNAcentral lists this ribosomal RNA (286 nucleotides) under Aegla longirostri. Its description in RNAcentral is "partial 12S small subunit ribosomal RNA". Lineage: Eukaryota; Metazoa; Arthropoda; Malacostraca; Decapoda; Aeglidae. The record is from RNAcentral.
UAUUUUAGUCUUGUUAGAGGAACCUGUUUUAUAAUCGAUAAACCACGUAUAUCUCACUUAUUUUAAAUAACUUGUAUACCGUCAUUAUUAGAUAACUUUCAAAAAAUUAGUUAUUAAAAUUAAAUAAAAUUAAAUAUAUUAGAUCAAGGUGCAGUUAAUAAAUAAGAAAAAAUGGGUUACAAUAAGAUUUAUUUAAAACGAAUUAUAUAAAUGUAAAAAUAUAUGAAGGAGGAUUUAAUUGUAAUUUUUCUUAUAAAAUAAUAAUAUGAUAAUAGCUCUAAAAUAU